GUAGCUUCGUGUUCAGUGACGGAGGAAGUCCCGACCGCCAUGGAGCAGCUCAGUCCACUCGGGUACGCUGGAGCAGGACUCCUUCAGAUUAUAUUCGGCAUCCCUCUGACUAUUCUACAAUUAAUAAUCGGGCCUUUGAACAGCGCCACCACAUGCAAAGGGUUCUCUGCUGGGCUCAUACCCUUCACGUUGCGACUGUUGCGAGGCGAUGAAGUCAAAUGGUACUUUGAUUCGUGCUGACGGAAGGAAAAAAUGGCGCCACGUAAUCGCCAGAAAUUAAGUUUUUAUAUUGCUUGUUUCAGUUCCAUGGUUUUGUAUUUUUAUCUAUUUAUUUAUGUA
Penaeus vannamei (Pacific white shrimp) is the source of this 339-nucleotide long non-coding RNA. RefSeq lists it as uncharacterized. NCBI's taxonomy places the organism in Eukaryota, Metazoa, Arthropoda, Malacostraca, Decapoda, Penaeidae. The record is from RefSeq and is a predicted model, not a curated record.